GUAAGGAAUAUUGGUCAAUGGACGCAAGUCUGAACCAGCCAUGCCGCGUGGAGGAUGAAGGCCCUCUGGGUUGUAAACUUCUUUUAUGGGGGACGAAACCCCGGAUUUUUAUCCGGCCUGACGGUACCCCAGGAAUAAGCACCGGCUAACUCCGUGCCAGCAGCCGCGGUAAUACGGAGGGUGCAAGCGUUAUCCGGAUUCACUGGGUUUAAAGGGUGCGUAGGCGGGUUUGUAAGUCAGUGGUGAAAUCCCGAAGCUUAACUUCGGAACUGCCGUUGAUACUACAGGUCUUGAAUACUCGGGAGGUGAGCGGAAUAUGUCAUGUAGCGGUGAAAUGCUUAGAUAUGACAUAGAACACCGAUUGCGAAGGCAGCUCACUACAGAGUCAUUGACGCUGAGGCACGAAAGCGUGGGGAUCAAACAGG
This 425-nucleotide ribosomal RNA is filed under the name uncultured bacterium. RNAcentral's name for it is "bacterial SSU rRNA". It matches the Rfam family "Bacterial small subunit ribosomal RNA", at positions 354 to 776 of the family's 1533-position model. RNAcentral also lists the same sequence under 1 other name. The record is from RNAcentral.